CAACUCUGGGUGCCCUUGAGGGUUUCUCUUUCAAUCCCAGAAAUGCUGAUAACUCAGCUGGGCUGGGGCAGGAUUUGGCAUGAUAGGCUGGCUCUGAACCCCCUCCUAAGAGACCAAGAGAGGAAGUGAUGGAAUUGGUUGGUCCCAUUUCAACUCUAUGCUGAUUCUCAGGGUUCUCAUGGCUUCCCUAAGAGAGCCACCUAAACUGCUCGGGGGUGAAAAAUCCUCUUGUAUUGAAGUGCCAAGCUGCCUGCAGCAGUGCAUGAUGGACAUUUUUUUUUUCUUUUUAAAACACACCAACAAAAAAAUGUAUUUGUAGAUUGUGAUAAAAUGUAAAUAACUGAAUUUUCAACCAUGGUUUGAAGUCAGCUUUCAGGGCAUUAUGUCUUGUUUUGAUGAAAAGAGAUCACUCUAUACCCCCCUUUUUAAAGGAAAAUUAUCGCAAGAGAAUCAGGAUGUGUAAAGCUAACAUGCAUCGCAAAAAACCAAAGGUGACUGAAAACUCCUGAGGCAUUUCCUGGACU
This 524-nucleotide long non-coding RNA is filed under the name Homo sapiens (human). RNAcentral describes it as "HSALNT0004387". Lineage: Eukaryota; Metazoa; Chordata; Mammalia; Primates; Hominidae. The record is from RNAcentral.